AAAUACAAAGCACGCGGUUUCCAGCUCAAAACCUGAAAAGGGAUCACAGUAAUAGAAUCGUCUCCAGUCUUUCCUGGAGGCAAUAAAUCAUAGUCGAUAAUCUCCUCUUUCACCGAUUGGAGCUGCCUUGGUAUCUGCCUAGCUCCAGAUAAAUCCUGAGAGAUGAGAUUGGAAACAAAAAGACCGGCGAGGAAGAAGGAGGAAGAGAGAAAGACAACAGUCAACCCUAGCUUAGGGCUGAACCUCCAUUUUCCUUUACUGGUUUUGGGUUUCAUUGGUGUCGGUGGGAGGGAGGAGAGGAAGAAGGAGAAGCCAAAUGGGAGAUCGCACGAGUAGAGCGGGAAUUUUAUGAGAUACUGAAGC
Molecule: unclassified non-coding RNA, 363 nt
Filed under: Hevea brasiliensis (rubber tree)
Lineage: Eukaryota; Viridiplantae; Streptophyta; Magnoliopsida; Malpighiales; Euphorbiaceae
Source: RNAcentral